AAGUCGUAACAAGGUUUCCGUAGGUGAACCUGCGGAAGGAUCAUUAAUAAUCCAAAUUAUUAAAAAUAUACCUCUUUUUUUUUUUUCUUGAAAGCUUUUUUUUAUUAAUAAAAAGAGUUGAUAGGGGAGAAAAGGGCGAUAUAAAAAUUAUAUUGCAGGGGGGAGGAGAGAAAAGAGUAAGUUUAAUUUUAAAAUUACUUGAGUAUUUUUCUCCCCCAAAGGUGAUAAAACCUAUAUCUAAAAUCUAUGUAUAGCGCCUUAUAUAUAAUAUGGGGGGGGGUUCAAUGCACAGAGGAUAGAAAAUUUUUACACUAUGUAAAAAACAAAAAAAUAGAUACAACUUUUAACAAUGGAUCUCUUGGCUCUU
RNAcentral lists this unclassified non-coding RNA (367 nucleotides) under fungal sp. Its description in RNAcentral is "partial internal transcribed spacer region". The stretch from base 1 to 46 matches the Rfam family "Eukaryotic small subunit ribosomal RNA", at positions 1786 to 1831 of the family's 1831-position model. Lineage: Eukaryota; Fungi. The record is from RNAcentral.